Molecule: ribosomal RNA, 425 nt
Filed under: uncultured bacterium
Lineage: Bacteria
Description: partial 16S ribosomal RNA
Rfam family: Bacterial small subunit ribosomal RNA
Source: RNAcentral
GUGGGGAAUCUUGCGCAAUGGGCGAAAGCCUGACGCAGCCAUGCCGCGUGAAUGAUGAAGGUCUUAGGAUUGUAAAAUUCUUUCACCGGGGACGAUAAUGACGGUACCCGGAGAAGAAGCUCCGGCUAACUUCGUGCCAGCAGCCGCGGUAAUACGAAGGGGGCUAGCGUUGCUCGGAAUUACUGGGCGUAAAGGGCGCGUAGGCGGACAGCUUAGUCAGAGGUGAAAGCCCAGGGCUCAACCUUGGAAUUGCCUUUGAUACUGGCUGACUUGAGUUUGGGAGAGGUGAGUGGAACUCCGAGUGUAGAGGUGAAAUUCGUAGAUAUUCGGAAGAACACCAGUGGCGAAGGCGACUCACUGGCCCAAUACUGACGCUGAGGCGCGAAAGCGUGGGGAGCAAACAGGAUUAGAUACCCCGGUAGUCC